GACGAACGCUGGCGGCGUGCUUAACACAUGCAAGUCGAACGGAAAGGCCCUGCUUUUGUGGGGUGCUCGAGUGGCGAACGGGUGAGUAACACGUGAGUAACCUGCCCUUGACUUUGGGAUAACUUCAGGAAACUGGGGCUAAUACCGGAUAGGAGCUCCUGCUGCAUGGUGGGGGUUGGAAAGUUUCGGCGGUUGGGGAUGGACUCGCGGCUUAUCAGCUUGUUGGUGGGGUAGUGGCUUACCAAGGCUUUGACGGGUAGCCGGCCUGAGAGGGUGACCGGCCACAUUGGGACUGAGAUACGGCCCAGACUCCUACGGGAGGCAGCAGUGGGGAAUAUUGCACAAUGGGCGGAAACCUGAUGCAGCAACGCCGCGUGCGGGAUGACGGCCUUCGGGUUGUAAACCGCUUUCGCCUGUGACGAAGCGUGAGUGACGGUAAUGGGUAAAGAAGCACCGGCUAACUACGUG
This 468-nucleotide ribosomal RNA is filed under the name uncultured bacterium. RNAcentral describes it as "partial 16S ribosomal RNA". It matches the Rfam family "Bacterial small subunit ribosomal RNA", at positions 28 to 507 of the family's 1533-position model. The record is from RNAcentral.